RNAcentral lists this ribosomal RNA (500 nucleotides) under uncultured bacterium. RNAcentral's name for it is "partial 16S ribosomal RNA". It matches the Rfam family "Bacterial small subunit ribosomal RNA", at positions 30 to 523 of the family's 1533-position model. The record is from RNAcentral.
AUUGAACGCUGGCGGCAUGCCUUACACAUGCAAGUCGAACGGCAGCGCGGGCUUCGGCCUGGCGGCGAGUGGCGGACGGGUGAGUAAUGCAUCGGAACGUGCCCAGGAGUGGGGGAUAACGUAGCGAAAGUUACGCUAAUACCGCAUACGUACUGAGGUAGAAAGCGGGGGAUCGAAAGACCUCGCGCUCAUGGAGCGGCCGAUGUCGGAUUAGCUAGUUGGUGAGGUAAAAGCUCACCAAGGCGACGAUCCGUAGCUGGUCUGAGAGGACGACCAGCCACACUGGAACUGAGACACGGUCCAGACUCCUACGGGAGGCAGCAGUGGGGAAUAUUGGACAAUGGGCGAAAGCCUGAUCCAGCCAUGCCGCGUGUGUGAAGAAGGUCUUCGGACUGUAAAGCACUUUAAGUUGGGAGGAAGGGUUGUAAGCUAAUAUCUUGCAGCUUUGACGUUACCAACAGAAUAAGCACCGGCUAACUCUGUACCAGCCGCCGCUGUAA